This 644-nucleotide ribosomal RNA is filed under the name fungal endophyte. Its description in RNAcentral is "eukaryotic LSU rRNA". The stretch from base 158 to 311 matches the Rfam family "5.8S ribosomal RNA". The record is from RNAcentral. Lineage: Eukaryota; Fungi.
AACCCAUGUGAACAUACCUAACGUUGCCUCGGCAGGUCGCACCUACCUUGUAGCACCCUACCCUGUAGGGCCUACCCGGGAGGUGCGGGUAAGCCUGCCGGCGGCCCACCAAACUCUGUUUGAUAUUGAAUUCUGAACCUAUAACUAAAUAAGUUAAAACUUUCAACAACGGAUCUCUUGGUUCUGGCAUCGAUGAAGAACGCAGCGAAAUGCGAUAAGUAAUGUGAAUUGCAGAAUUCAGUGAAUCAUCGAAUCUUUGAACGCAUAUUGCGCCCAUUAGUAUUCUAGUGGGCAGGACCGUUCGAGCGUCAUUUCAACCCUUAAGCCUUCGUUGCUUAGUGUUGGGAGCCUACGGCAACGUAGCUCCUCAAAGUUAGUGGCGGAGUUGGUUCACACUCUAGACGUAGUAAUUUUUUAUCUCGCCUAUUAGUUGGACUAAUCCCCUGCCGUAAAACCCCCAAUUUAUCAAGGUUGACCUCGAAUCGGUUCAGACAAACUCGCUAAAUUGAAGCAUCUUAGUCAGCGAAGGAAAAGAAACCAACAGGGAUUGCCCUAGUAACGGCGAGUGAAGCGGCAACAGCUCAAAUUUGAAAUCUGGCCCUCGGGUCCCGAGUUGUAAUUUGUAGAGGAUGCUUUUGGCGCGG